This 560-nucleotide ribosomal RNA is filed under the name Bifidobacterium pseudolongum subsp. globosum. Its description in RNAcentral is "bacterial SSU rRNA". It matches the Rfam family "Bacterial small subunit ribosomal RNA", at positions 69 to 629 of the family's 1533-position model. The record is from RNAcentral. Lineage: Bacteria; Bacillati; Actinomycetota; Actinomycetes; Bifidobacteriales; Bifidobacteriaceae.
UUCUUGGCAGCUUGCUGCCGGGGUGAGAGUGGCGAACGGGUGAGUAAUGCGUGACCGACCUGCCCCAUGCACCGGAAUAGCUCCUGGAAACGGGUGGUAAUGCCGGAUGUUCCACAUGAGCGCAUGCGAGUGUGGGAAAGGCUUUUGCGGCAUGGGAUGGGGUCGCGUCCUAUCAGCUUGUUGGUGGGGUAACGGCCUACCAAGGCGUUGACGGGUAGCCGGCCUGAGAGGGCGACCGGCCACAUUGGGACUGAGAUACGGCCCAGACUCCUACGGGAGGCAGCAGUGGGGAAUAUUGCACAAUGGGCGCAAGCCUGAUGCAGCGACGCCGCGUGCGGGAUGGAGGCCUUCGGGUUGUAAACCGCUUUUGUUCAAGGGCAAGGCACGGUUUCGGCCGUGUUGAGUGGAUUGUUCGAAUAAGCACCGGCUAACUACGUGCCAGCAGCCGCGGUAAUACGUAGGGUGCAAGCGUUAUCCGGAUUUAUUGGGCGUAAAGGGCUCGUANGCGGUUCGUCGCGUCCGGUGUGAAAGUCCAUCGCUUAACGGUGGAUCCGCGCCGG